RNAcentral lists this ribosomal RNA (493 nucleotides) under uncultured bacterium. RNAcentral describes it as "partial 16S ribosomal RNA". It matches the Rfam family "Bacterial small subunit ribosomal RNA", at positions 30 to 523 of the family's 1533-position model. The record is from RNAcentral.
AUUGAACGCUGGGGGCAUGCUUUACACAUGCAAGUCGAACGGUAACAGGUUAAGCUGACGAGUGGCGAACGGGUGAGUAAUGCAUCGGAACGUGCCCGAUCGUGGGGGAUAACACUUCGAAAGAAGUGCUAAUACCGUAUACGAUCUGAGGAUGAAAGCGGGGGACCGUAAGGCCUCGCGCGAUCGGAGCGGCCGAUGUCAGAUUAGGUAGUUGGUGGGGUAAAGGCUCACCAAGCCGACGAUCUGUAGCUGGUCUGAGAGGACGACCAGCCACACUGGGACUGAGACACGGCCCAGACUCCUACGGGAGGCAGCAGUGGGGAAUUUUGGACAAUGGGCGCAAGCCUGAUCCAGCAAUGCCGCGUGCAGGAAGAAGGCCUUCGGGUUGUAAACUGCUUUUGUACGGAGCGAAAAGGCUCUCUCUAAUACAGGGGGCUCAUGACGGUACCGUAAGAAUAAGCACCGGCUAACUACGUGCCAGCCGCCGCCGUAA